Molecule: transfer RNA, 71 nt
Filed under: Metschnikowia bicuspidata var. bicuspidata NRRL YB-4993
Lineage: Eukaryota; Fungi; Ascomycota; Pichiomycetes; Serinales; Metschnikowiaceae
Rfam family: tRNA
About the family: Transfer RNA (tRNA) molecules are approximately 80 nucleotides in length. Their secondary structure includes four short double-helical elements and three loops (D, anti-codon, and T loops).
Source: Rfam by way of RNAcentral
UGAAUUAUAGCUCAAUGGUAAAUCAUUCCACUCAUAAUAGAUGUAUCUCAGUUCAAUUCUGAGUAAUUCAA